Molecule: ribosomal RNA, 253 nt
Filed under: uncultured bacterium
Lineage: Bacteria
Description: partial 16S ribosomal RNA
Rfam family: Bacterial small subunit ribosomal RNA
Source: RNAcentral
UACGGGGGGGGCAAGCGUUGUCCGGAAUUAUUGGGCGUAAAGGGCUCGUAGGCGGUUUGUCGCGUCGGGAGUGAAAUCCACUGGCUUAACUGGUGGCUUGCUUUCGAUACGGGCAGACUGGAGGUAUGCAGGGGAGAACGGAAUUCCUGGUGUAGCGGUGAAAUGCGCAGAUAUCAGGAGGAACACCGGUGGCGAAAGCGGGUCUCUGGGCAGUAACUGACGCUGAGGAGCGAAAGCGUGGGGAGCGAACAGG